CCUACGGGGGGCAGCAGUGGGGAAUAUUGCACAAUGGGGGAAACCCUGAUGCAGCGACGCCGCGUGAGCGAUGAAGUAUUUCGGUAUGUAAAGCUCUAUCAGCAGGGAAGAAAAUGACGGUACCUGACUAAGAAGCCCCGGCCAACUACGUGCCAGCAGCCGCGGUAAUACGGAGGGGGCAAGCGUUAUCCGGAUUUACUGGGUGUAAAGGGAGCGUAGACGGCUUGUCAAGUCAGAGGUGAAAACCCCGGGCUCAACCUGGGGAGUGCCUUUGAAACUGAGUAGCUGGAGUGCAGGAGAGGUAGGCGGAAUUCCUAGUGUAGCGGUGAAAUGCGUAGAUAUUAGGAGGAACACCAGUGGCGAAGGCGGCUUACUGGACCAUAACUGACGUUGAGGCUCGAAAGCGUGGGGAGCAAACAGGAUUAGAUACCCUAGUAGUC
This 440-nucleotide ribosomal RNA is filed under the name uncultured bacterium. RNAcentral describes it as "partial 16S ribosomal RNA". It matches the Rfam family "Bacterial small subunit ribosomal RNA", at positions 338 to 795 of the family's 1533-position model. The record is from RNAcentral.